UAACGCGAAGAACCUUACCAGGUCUUGACAUCUUCUGAUAACCUAAGAGAUUAGGUGUUCCCUUCGGGACAGAAUGACAGGUGGUGCAUGGUUGUCGUCAGCUCGUGUCGUGAGAUGUUGGGUUAAGUCCCGCAACGAGCGCAACCCUUAUUGUUAGUUGCCAGCAUUCAGAUGGGCACUCUAGCGAGACUGCCGGUGACAAACCGGAGGAAGGCGGGGACGACGUCAGAUCAUCAUGCCCCUUAUGACCUGGGCUACACACGUGCUACAAUGGCGUAUACAACGAGUUGCCAGCCCGCGAGGGUGAGCUAAUCUCUUAAAGUACGUCUCAGUUCGGAUUGUAGUCUGCAACUCGACUACAUGAAGUCGGAAUCGCUAGUAAUCGCGGAUCAGC
RNAcentral lists this ribosomal RNA (394 nucleotides) under uncultured bacterium. RNAcentral describes it as "bacterial SSU rRNA". It matches the Rfam family "Bacterial small subunit ribosomal RNA", at positions 957 to 1353 of the family's 1533-position model. The record is from RNAcentral.